UAUCCUUGUAGUUUAUUUUAUACUUAAUACUUUGUACUUCUUAAUCUCCUACCCCUUUGUUGCCCUUCCCCCCAUCCCUCUCUCUACUGGUAACCACUAGUUUAUUUUCUAUAUUUGUGAGUCUGUUUCCUUUUUUUUAUAUUUAUUAGUUUGUCAUAUUUUUAGAUUCCACAUAUAGGUGAUAUCAUACAGUAUUUUUCUUUCUCUGUCUGACUUAUUUCACUUAGUGUAAUACUCUACAAGUCCAUCCAUGUUGUUGCAAAUGGAAAAAUUGUGUUCUUUUUAUGGCUGAGUAGUAUUCCAUUGCAUAUGUAUAUACCACAUCUCCUUUAUCCAUUUAUCUGUUGAUAGACGCUUAGUUUGCUUUCUUAUCCUGACAAUUGUAAAUAAUGUUGCUGUGAACAUUGGGUACAUGUACCUUUUCAAAUUAGUGGUUUUGGUUUUUUCAGAUAUAUACUCAGGAGUGGAAUUGCUGAAUCAUAUGUAUUUCUAUUUUGUUUUUUUGAGAAACCUCCAUACUGCUUUCCACAGUGGCUAAACAAAUUUACAUUCUCACCACAGUGUACAAGGAUUCCUUUUUCUCCACAUCUUUGCUAACAUUUGUUAUCUGUGUUCUUUUUGGUGAUAGCCAUUCUGACAAGUGUGAAAGUAUUUCUCAUUAUGGUUUUGAUUAGCAUUUCCCUAGUGGUUAGCAAUAUUGAGCAUCUUUUCAUGUGCAUGUUGGCCAUCUCUGUGUCCUCUUUGGAAAAAUGUCUAUUCAGUUCUUCUGCCCCUUUUUAAAUUGGGUUGUUUGGUUUUUAUUCUUUUUUUUCAUUUUUUUAAGGUUUUAUUGAAGUAUAGUUAAUUUACAAUGCUGUGAUAAUUUCUGCUAUACAACAAAGUGAUUCAUUAUAUAUGUAUGUGUAUAUAUAUGUAUGUAUGUAUAUAUCUCCAUUCUUUUUCAGAUUCUUUUCCCAGAAAGAUUACACAGAAUAUUAAGUAGAGUUCCAUAUGCUAUACAGUAGGUCCCCACUGACCAUCUAUUCCAUAUAAAAUAGUGUGCAUAUGGCAAUCUCAAAGAUCCAUCCCUCCCUGCCACCUUUCCCCUUUGGUAAACCCUAAGUUUGUUUUCAAAGUCUGUAAGUCUGUUUCUCAUUGUUGUCAGAAAAAUGCUUGAUACGAUUUCAUUUUUCUUAAAUUUACUGAGGCUCAUUUUGUGACCUAGCAUAUAGCUUAUCCUGGAGAAUGUUCCAUGUGCACAUGAAAAGAAUGUGUAUUCUCCUCCUUUCAGAUGGAAUGUUCUAUUAAUAUCAAUUUAGUCCUUUUGGUCUAAGGUGUUAUUUAAGGACUAUGUUUCCUUAUUGAUUUUCUAUCUGGAUGAUCUGUCCAUUGUUAUAAGUGGGGUGUUAAAGUCCCCUACUAUUAUUGUGUUGCUGUCGAUUUCUCCUUUUACAUAUCUUAAUAUUUGCUUUAUGUGUUGAAUUGCUCCUAUAUUGGGUGCAUGUAUUUCUUUACAAUUGCUAUAUUUUCUUCUUGGAUUGCUCCCUUGAUCAUUAUGUAGUUUCCUUCUUUGUCUCUUGUAGUAGUCUUUAUUUCAGAGUCUAUUUUGUCUGAUACAAGUAUUGCUUCUCCGGCUUUCUUUGGAUUUCCAUUUGCAUGGAAUAACCUUCUCCAUUCCAUCAUUUUCAUGCUGUAUGAGUCUCUAGAUCUGAAGCGAUUAUUUAGGCAGCAUAUAUAUAUGUAUGUAUAUAUAUGUGCAUGUGUGUGUGUAUCUUGUUUUUGUAUCCAUUUGGCCAGUUUGUGUCUUUUGGUUGGAGCAUUUAGUCCAUUUACAUUUAAGGUUAAUUAUCAAUGUCUGUUUUCAUUGCCACUUUGUUGUUUUGUUUUAUAGGUCUUUUUCCCCUUCUUUUGUUCUCUUUCCUUGUGAUUUGAUGACUGUCUUUAGUAUUAUGUUAAGAUUCCUUAUGUGUGUGUGUGUGUGUAUCUGUUAUAGAUUUUGAUUUGAAGUUGCCAUGAGGAUUUUUGUAUGAUAGUCUAUAUGUUAAACAUGAUUGUUUAAAGCUGCUAAUCUCCUAAUUUCAAAUGCAUUUUAAAUACCUUACAUUUGUACUCGCCUCCCUUCAUGAUUAUUGCUUUUGAUAUCACAUUUUACAUCUAAUUGUUUUGUAUAUCCUUUAACUGCUUAUUGUAGAUACAGGUUACAGGUGAUUUUACUGCUUUUGUCUUUUAACCUCUUCACCAGUUUUGGGUGUGGAUGAUUUCUUAUCUUUACUGUAUGCUUGCCUUUACCAGUAAGCUUCUUCAUUUCAUAAUUUUCUAGUUUCUAAUUGUGAUUUUUUUCUUUUUCUCCUGGAGAAGUUCUUUUAACAUUUGUUGUAAAGCUGGUUGGAUGGUGCUGAAUUCUUUUACCUUUUGCUUGUCUGUAAAGCUUUUGAUUUCUACAUCAAACCAGAAUGGUAGAUAGAGUAUUCUUGGUUAUAGAUUUUUCUCUUUCAUCAUUUGAAAUCUAUCUGUCAUGCUAUUCCCUUCUUGCCUACAGAGUUUCUGCUGGAAAAUCAGCUGAUGACCUUAUGGGAAUUCCCAUUUAUUUUAUUUGUUGCUUUUCCCUUUCUGCUUUUAGUGUUCACUUUUUAUUUUUAAUUUUUGUCAUUUUGAUUACAGUGUAUCUUGGUGUGUCCCUCUUUGAGUUAAUCCUAUAUGGGACUCUGCAUUUCCUGGUUUGGGUGACUCUUUCCUUUCCUAUGUUAAGUACAUUUUCAGCUAUUGUCUCUUCAAAUAUUUUCUCAGGCCCUCUCUCUCUUCUUCUUCUGGGACUCCUAUAAUUUGAAUAUUGUUGCACUUGAUGUUGUCCCAGAGGUGUCUUAAACUGUCCUUAUUUCUUUUCAUUUUUUUCCCUUUUUUUCUGUUCAGUAGCAGUUAUUUCCACUAAUCUGUCUUCAAGCACAUGAUACAUUCUUCUGUAUCAUUUAGCCUGUUAUCAAUUCCUUCUACUAUGUUUUUCAUUUCAGUUAUUUUAUCCUUCAUCUCUGUUUGGUUGUUCUUUAUGUUUUCUCUGUUAAAAACUUCUAACUUCUUGCUCUGUACAUCCAUUCUCUUCUCAAGUUCUUUGAUCAUCUGUACAAUCAUUACUCUGAACUCUUCACAGGUAGAUUGCCUAUUUCCCCUUAACUUAGUUCUUCUGGGAUUUUAUCUUGUUCCUUUAUCUGUAACAUAUUCCUCUGUCACUACAUUUUGUCUAAGUUGCUCUUUGUAUUUGUAUAUCUGUGGUAAGUUAGUUACAUUUCUCAACCUUGAAGAAGUGGCUCUCUGGGAGUGAAUUUCCCCUCUUGUCACAAAAGCUAUAUGAUCUUGGGGUCUCACCUAAGAGAGCUAUGUGUCCUUCUGUUGUGGUGGGCUGAUUAUGUGGGUGGUCUGCUAGGCUUGGUUGGCCUCCAGUCUGGUUGGUUGCCAGGCCCUGUCUAGUCUAGGUGCUGCUGGCUGCUGUUUAGUGAUGGUUAUGGAACCCUGGUUGGCCCCAGGGCUACUACUUGCUUUCUGGUGAGUGGAGUUGGGGUCCUGAAGACCAGGAUUGUUGCCUACCCACUGGUAGGUGAAGCCAGAUCCUGGGGUUAUUGCUGGACUACUGUUACACAGAGCAGAUUCCUAUAGUCUGGCUGCAGGGCCUGGGAUCUCAGAGCUCUUUUAAAAUUGUUAUGGAAGGAGCAGUUCCUGAGACAGUUAUAUGUCCUGAAGAUUGCAUUGGCCUACUGACCAGGGCUAGGGCCCAGCUGUUCCUGGGGUAAGACCUGGUGUGCAUUGUGGGAUCAUAGUUUUUUUGCUUCUGGUAUCUGCCCUCUGUGGAUGAUGUUAGUCUAGAGGUUUAUGCAGCUUCCUGGUGGAUGAGGCUUUUGCCUGCCCACUGGUGAAUGGAGUUAGGUCUUGGCUCUCUAGUGAGCAAGGUUGUGUUUAAAGGCAGCUAUGGGCUCAGGAAGACUUUAUACAGCCUGUCUGCUGAUGAGUGUGGCUGUGUCCCCACCCAGUUAGUUGUUUUGCCUGAGGCAUCCCAGCACUGGGGUACAGGGUGUUGAGUGGGGCCAGGUCUUGGCAGUAGUGAGCCAAUAUGUCAACUACCAGGAGUGUUCAUGCAGUUGAAUGUCUCUCAAUAUGUAUGCCAUCAAUGCCUAGGACUCUGAGCCUCAGCUGCCUCUCACCUCUCUGGGAGACUCUCCAAGACCAGCAGGUAGAUGUGGCCCAGACUCCUAUCAAAUUACUGCCUUUGUCCUGGGUCCUGGUACAUGUGAGAUUUUGCAUGUGCCUUUUAAGGGUGAAGCCUCUAUUCCCCCCUGUCCUGUGAGGCUCCUGCAAUUAAGCCCCACUGGUCUUCAAAGACAAAUGCUCUGGGAGCUCAUCUUCCCAGUGGUGGACCCCUGGGCUGAGGAACCUGACAGGGCUGAUAACUCACUCCUGUGGGAGAAUUGCCACAAUAUAAUUAUUAUCCAAUUUGUCAGUCACCCUCUUGGGGAUAUGGAAUUUGAUUAUAUCACAAAUCUACCCUUCCUACCCAUCUCAUUGUGGUUCCUUCUUUAUGCCUUUAGUUGUAGAAGAUCUUUUCUGGUAGUUUCCUUUUUUUUUUUUUUUAUCAAUGGUUGUUCUGCACAUACUUGUGAUUUUGGUAUGCUUGUGAGAGGAGGUAAGUUCUUGGCCACUCUCUCCUAAAAAUCUUAAUGUUAGAAAAUUUAGACAGAGACCUAUUCUUUAAUCUUGAAUUAGAGAUCUAUAUAGGAUUCAUAAUAAAUUUCUGUAUCAAACACAGGAUUAAAAAGAGGAGUCAAUAAGAAAAGUUCCAAAGAGGUUCAAAUUGUUUGAAAAGCAGUGGUAAAAAUUCUCUGCUCCUAAGUGAUAUUCUUAGUUUUGAUGCAACCAAGUUGUUUUUCUAAGUGUACAUCCUGUUACCUUGUUCAUUACUAUCAUUAACACCUUUGGAAAUGUUGCAUCAAAGCUUUGCCCAUCCCAGUGGCCUAUGAAUAAUUUUAAUAUUAAAGAUCUAUAUAAGUUGUAUCAUAGGAAAUAACAAAGAGAAUACAAAGACAGAUAACCAGCAAAGCCAAACAUUGAUUAUUUGAAAAGAUUAAAAACAUAUGUAUCUCUAGGAAGACUGAUCAAGAAAAAACAAAAUGGGAAGAUAAUAAAUAAAAUAUUAGGAUUGAAAGAUGAUAUAACCAUGGGUGGAAAAGAAAUUUAAAAGUAAAUAAGAGAAUAUCAUGAAUGACUUUAUUCCACUAAAUUUGAAAACUUAAAAUCAGAAAAAAAAAAUAGUAUUUUUAAUGAAAACUAACUCAAAAGAACUAGAGAAACUAAGUAAUUAUAUGAUUAUAUGACAUUAAAUCAGCAAUAAAGACUUUUUUAAAAUAAAAAUUAAAAAAGCAGACUUUCUAGUGAGCUUGUAAGAAAUAGACAAUUCCAAUUUUACAGAAAGUUUUCCAGAGAAUAGAAAAAUAGGAAACAUUCCUUAAUAAAUUUUAUGAAUCUUAUAUAGAUUUGAUAUAAAAAAUAGUGAGGAGAAUGGUACAAGGAUAAAUUACAGGUUAAUCUCAGUCAAUUAUGCUGAAACCCUAAACAGAAUAUUAGCAAACUAUUUCCAACUAUAUAUAAAGUUGGAAGACUUUUUAAAAGAAACAUUUCCAGAGUUCCUAUUGUCACUCAGCAGAUUAAGUACCUGACAUUGUCUCUGUGAGGAUGUAGGUCAUUCCCUGUCCUUGCUGAGUCGGUUAAGGAUCUGGUAUUACCCUAAGCCACAGUAUAGGUCACAGAUGUGGCUUGAAUCCUGUGUUGCUGUGGCAUAGGCCCCAGCUGUGGCUCUGAUUCAACCCCUGGCCUAGGAACUUACACAUGUGCAGCCACAUAAAGAAAAAGAAAAAAAAAGAAACAGUACCAAUGAGAUAUAUCCAGAAAUCUAAGACUAUUAUAAUACUAGAAAAUCUGGUUGUAUAAUUUGUGUGCUUAUUAAGUACAGAAGAAAAAUAAAAUCCUACAGUAAUCAUCAUAGUAAAUGGUGAAAUGUUAAAAAAAAAAAAACAAAAA
Molecule: long non-coding RNA, 6039 nt
Filed under: Sus scrofa (pig)
Lineage: Eukaryota; Metazoa; Chordata; Mammalia; Artiodactyla; Suidae
Description: lncRNA (ENSSSCG00030027618.1)
Source: RNAcentral